CUACGGGAGGCAGCAGUAAGGAAUAUUGGACAAUGGGCGCAAGCCUGACCCAGCGACGCCGCGUGGAGGACGAAGGGCUUCGGCUCGUAAACUCCUUUUCCCGUGGACGAGAGAAGGACGGUACACGGGGAAUAAGUCUCGGCUAACUACGUGCCAGCAGCCGCGGUAAAACGUAGGAGGCGAGCGUUAUCCGGAAUCACUGGGCGUAAAGGGCGUCUAGGCGGCACGACAAGUGAGGUGUGAAAGCUCCUGGCUCAACUAGGAGAGUGCGCUUCAGACUGUCGAGCUUGGAGGGCAGGUGAAGGGGGUGGAAUUCCCGGUGGAGUGGUGAAAUGCGUAGAGAUCGGGAGGAACACCAGUGGCGAAAGCGGCCCCCUGGCCUGUUGCUGACGCUGAAGCGCGAAAGCGUGGGGAGCAAACGGGAUUAGAUACCCUGGUAGUCC
This 443-nucleotide ribosomal RNA is filed under the name uncultured bacterium. Its description in RNAcentral is "bacterial SSU rRNA". It matches the Rfam family "Bacterial small subunit ribosomal RNA", at positions 339 to 796 of the family's 1533-position model. The record is from RNAcentral.